CAUGAGACCAAAUUCUAUUAAACUCAUUUACUAAUUAACAAUGAAGGGAGAUUUCCCUUUAAAUAGACUAACAAGAAGAUAAACAAUAACUAAGCAAAGAAAAACCUCUCUCUACACUCGGACUUUUCUUACGUUAUCUCUUAUCCCUAUUUUCUCUUUUAACCUAUUUUCUCUCUAUUAACUUUACGUGCCAAAGAUUUGCUUCUAAAAUAGUUAGCUCACGUUUUACCCAUAGCCUCUCAACGUUGGUUAUUGUUGAAAAGUUAAACCCUCUAGAUUUAUCCUUAUCCUAUUUAUAUUCCUCAAACUAACCAACCCAAUUGAUCAAUAU
This 331-nucleotide long non-coding RNA is filed under the name Amborella trichopoda. Its description in RNAcentral is "long non-coding RNA (ATRI_LNC000438)". Lineage: Eukaryota; Viridiplantae; Streptophyta; Magnoliopsida; Amborellales; Amborellaceae. The record is from RNAcentral.